Molecule: long non-coding RNA, 351 nt
Filed under: Lathyrus oleraceus (garden pea)
Lineage: Eukaryota; Viridiplantae; Streptophyta; Magnoliopsida; Fabales; Fabaceae
Description: Pisum sativum (pea) long non-coding RNA (PSAT_LNC040163)
Source: RNAcentral
UUUCAGUUACUUAAAUUCGGUUAUGGGCAGUUACUUAUCUUGAGUUAGUUAAUUUUAUUCGAUAAAUUUGCGUUUUUCAAAAUCUGUUAUUUUAUUGUUAAAAUCUUUUUAUUCUGCAUUCCUUGUGUGUAAGGAAUUGUAUAGUACAUUUUAAUUAAAUACACAUACAAUGCCAAAAAAAACUUUACUCAAUCAAUAUCAAUAUACAACCACAAUGAAAAAUAAAAUAAAAAACUUUACUCAAUCAAAUGAUUCAUCUUAAGAAUUUGAUUUUCGUUUUGCAACCGCAAUAUUUGAUUCUUCAAAUCAACUACUACACCCUGCUUAUCUAACAAUACUCAUCAUCUCCUU